Molecule: ribosomal RNA, 461 nt
Filed under: uncultured Planctomycetaceae bacterium
Lineage: Bacteria; Pseudomonadati; Planctomycetota; Planctomycetia; Planctomycetales; Planctomycetaceae
Description: bacterial SSU rRNA
Rfam family: Bacterial small subunit ribosomal RNA
Source: RNAcentral
AAUGAACGUUGGCGGCGUGGAUUAGGCAUGCAAGUCGAGCGAGAAACUCUUUUUUGAUCCUUCGGGUGAAGAAAAGAGCGGACAGCGGCGAAAGGGAGAGUAACGAGUAGAUCACGUACCCAAGGGUUCGGGAUAGCUGCGGGAAACUGCAGGUAAUACCGAAUAAUGUCUCCGGACCAAAAAUUUAUUGCCCUUGGAGCGGUUUGCUUACUAUUAGCUUGUUGGUGGGGUAAAGGCCUACCAAGGCAAAGAUGGUUAGCGGGUGUGAGAGCAUGGCCCGUCUCACUGGGACUGAGACACUGCCCAGACACCUACGGGUGGCUGCAGUCGAGAAUCUUCCGCAAUGGACGAAAGUCUGACGGAGCGACGCCGCGUGCGGGACGAAGGCCCUCGGGUUGUAAACCGCUGUCAGUAGGGAGGAAAUUUUGACCGAUCUACAGAGGAAGCACAGGCUAAGUUCG